Molecule: long non-coding RNA, 5155 nt
Organism: Hirundo rustica (Barn swallow)
Lineage: Eukaryota; Metazoa; Chordata; Aves; Passeriformes; Hirundinidae
Exons: 3
Source: RefSeq, a predicted model, not a curated record
UUUAGCAUUUUUGAGGUGGGCUGUAAAAGUGGCUGCCUGCAGUCCUGCUCCUGAGUUGUGGGGAUUCCCUGGGCUGACUUCUGACAUGAGAUACGUUGUGCCUGGUGCUCCUUUGGGGGACUGACGACCCUGCUUCAUUCACAAUUUUAACUGUAGUUCUUUGCUACUUUAAUGCAGAAUCACUUAUCUGAGCAAGCAUCAACACAUUUCAAGCAAUGCCAGCUCAAAGAUUCUGGGAACAAGAACCUAUUCCCUUGUGUGUCAUAAGAGUAGCCACACCACACAGAAAAGGCAUAAUUAGUAUCUGGAACAACCACAAGAGAGAAAUAUGUACAUGAAACCCAAGACUUGGCAAAUGCUCUGGACUUAAGCUGGGGGUCUUUGAGGAGCUGUGGGACGAUGGACUGCAAGGCGUCGAAUCCUUCACUGCUGUCAUUUCACUCUGACUCCUCAACACAUUUUCUGCCUGUUGAGCUGUUUGAAAAACAGGGUCAAGUACUGCCUGCCUUACCCUUUUGUUUACCACAGCAACAGAUGGAUCAUUCACUUGUGCAUUGCUCAACAUUUGAAACCAAAACCCAUGUAAUUGGAGCAGGGGACUUUGGGCUGAUCUGCACAAAUAGUUGAACUGAACUUGACUGUGAUCAGUUAUGGAAAACAUCACUUGGAAACACAGUGUUUUGACUGAUAGCAAUUGUGUCUUAGCUUGGUAGUUUAUGAACCCAAAACAAAGUUUUAAAUCGAUAUGACAACUUACCAACUGUAAAUUGCUCUAAGUCAUAACAGAUAUAAGUUAUUACAACUGUGUCCCCAAAGGAGUUUCUGAGGGAUUCACAGAAUUAGUUUAAUAACUGAUUGUAGUUAAACUGGUGGGAACAAUUUUGUGUAAACCAGUCCUUGGGGCUGGGAGGUUUCAUGGUGAAUCAGGUGAAGAGUGGCACAGCAGCGCCUGAGGAGAAACAUCAAGGACUGUUUGGAGCUUCACACAUAGGUCUGCUUUGCAAGGAGGUCAGUGUGUGUCAGCAAAGCACCUUUUCUUUUGCUGUUGUUGGAAAGACACAAAGAUCUUCCAAAAACUAAAUCAAGAAUGCUUAUAACCAAGUGACACAAACUGCUAGUACAGUGCAGUUAAAUUAUGUUGCUUCCAGUUUUCUAAAAAUGUAUUAGCGUGAUACCUAAUUUUCAGCAGGCUCUGGUAGAGCAAUUAUUGCUUAUCUUUGUCAUCUGGCAAGAUGCUUCUGGAUCUAGUUAUCCUGCCAAGUGUAUAAAUUCUGCAUUGUGUGCACCAUCUCCUUCUGACAGAAAUUUGUUUCUGUGAGCGUGUCUAAUCUCUAUCAGACUUGCUCUGGGCAUGGAUCAGUAUUAAUGAUUUUUAUUUCCUAGCUUAAGAAAUAGCAGCCAGGGUAUGCAUUAUACUAUUCCACUGUCCCCUGACUGAGGUUGUGUAGACUGGGCCACACACAUACUGUGGUGUGGUAUAGUUUCCUUGGAAAGAUAACAGGAUAUCAAAGGAAGAUUUGAGUCAGUGAUGUGGGAGAGAAAAAUGCUCAGUGCUCCUGCUGUGUAUGGGCAGGAAAAGUCAGCAAAUAUUUUAAGGUAGCGGCAGUGAGAGCACUGAUCACACAAUUUGCAGCAUCUUUGGAGAGUAUAGCUCAGAUAUCAUUCCCUUAGGCAUCCAGAUGGAUAGGGUUCAAAACUUCAUCUUGAAUAUUGAUGGCAAUGGGAACAGCUGUUCACCACCAUGUUAAGGUGUAAACAAGGUGUGGUUUAAUGGGUGCAAAAGCAUCUGUUUGCAAAGAUCAACCCAACCUUCCCCACUAGAUGCAAGCUCUUAGGGCGGGCUCCAGCUGAGCCUGUCCUGUGGGCCAGACCCAGACUCACCCUGACCCUGCACCCAGCCCUGUGCUUGGGAGGACCCAAAAUGUGGCUCCAAUGGGCCUGACUUCCAUACCACAGGCUUGGGCUCUACAGCGCUGUCUGUGCACCUGAAGAUGAGUUUACCAUCACCUCAGCUAACACAAAGUGCCAUAACCUCUUUUAGAUCAUGAAAGACAGAUCAUACACUGAUCAGUGAUAUCUGCCACCUUUGACAGUCCUCUUGGCAGAGAGCUUUGUGAGGGAUUCAACGUAAAGAUUAAUUUCUGUUGAGUCAGGGAAGGAGUAAGUGAGAAUCUGGCUAACCCACACUCAUUCUGUCUAUGGUGAAAGGGUUUGGGCUCUUCUGGCCUUUUUUUGGUGUCAUUGUUUUGGUGGUUGGUUGGGGUUUUUUUAUACAGUUAGACAAUUUCAAUGAGCAGGAUUAACUUCACUACAGUAAGUAAAAGACACCGUGCCCUUAUUAACAGUCUGUCAGCCUGGACUUACUUCCUAAAUUAAUGUAUGACAGGAUGGGUGUCAGUUUCUGAGGAGUCAGUAAUAGAGGGUGGGAAGCAGCGUGAUGUACUCCCAGCUCACCCUCAGUAAAUUCACUGAGCUGUGUACACAUUGCACAGAUAGAAACUGUUUGUUCAAGGAUGGCAUCAGGCUCCACUCUCACCACAGAACCAAGCUCAUUAGGAGCUUGCAAGCCUCAAAAGAUAGAUCUUUAUCUUCUCUACUUUAGGUAUGAAAUGCACAGGAAAUACAAAACAAUCCCUGGCUACAGAACACUGUCAGCAUCUGGUGUUUCUGGGGGAAAUGCCCUGGGUUUUUCUCCUGUCCCACUCGUGGUACUGCAAAGUUAAUAAUCUGAAGUAGUGUGCUCAUGAUGGCACAGAACAAAGAAUUUUAAUGACAUCCUAUUUAUAUCAUAAAAGGCUCUGUGCAUGUGUCACCCUUGUAUUUUGAUGUAGCUGUCUCUCAAAUAUCUUCUGAUAGACAUCUCUGCCAGUCAUUGCGAGGCAGCAGUAGGAGUAAAAUAUGCUAGGGCAUUUAACACAAUACUGGGUAUUUUUAUUGGACCUGUAUUCCUGGCUGUGUAGUACUCCAAGCUACACUUGGUUUGGAAGGGUUUUUCCUUGUAAAGAAAGGGCAGUGAGAUUCUUAUAGUUGUGUAUUAUCAUGUGAUGUGCUACAGCCCAGAGACCCCCACCCACAUGCAGAAUACCAUUGUAGUCUGCUUGGACCAGGCAUGACAAAGAAAUACUAAAAAUAUGAGUGAGAGCUGGGGCAGAAGGACAAGGGUAAGAACAGCAAGGGAAAGGGGUGCUUGGCUGUGAACCCCUGCAGGGAUAUAUGCUGCAUGGGUCACCUCAAGCUGUCCUGUGGCUAAUCUCAGCAGCUCCCACCGUGAUUCAGGGCUUAGGAAUGAGGAUGCAAAUGCAGGCAGCCAGUGUAGGCCCUGGUGGCUAGUGAGCAGUUAUGUUCUCAAAUCAUCAAAACAGAGGAGAGACCUAGCCCUGCCAUUAGUCUUUUGUUCCAGCUUCUAACCCAAACAUAAAUGAGGACAGGAGAUGGUUGCUCUCAGCAGAUCCCACCAAACUGGGAAAGCAGCAGAUGAAAUAGCUGCACAGGUAUCCAGGAUCUAAAAAGAUAGUUCCUAUCCCAGCAAUUUUUAAGAAGGCCUCACUUUCCUCUUCCAUAUCUUGAGAUUUCUUUCAGUGACCUCUCUCAGAGUAUGAAAUUAAUUCUGGUGGAUACAGACAAUAGUUUAGUUUGCUGGUGCUGUAAAUAAUUUAAUUUAAGAAUUAUAUAUUAUAUUUACGCUGAAACUUCCAGGAUCAAAGUGACCUUGCUGUGAUAUGGAGAUUCUACUUACAAUAACCAUCAUCACACAGAUGGAGAAAUUACAGCUAACCCAGUAUCACACAAAAUCUCUCCAUCACAGCUGAGAAGAAAAUAACAAUCUGUUGGUCCUUGGUUCCCAAAAAGAAGUAUUUUUAUAACUCUUACAUGGCUAAUAACCUUUGUACAUCUUUGUGCAUUAGUAGCUGUCUUCUACGCUGUAUUUUUUUAUAAAUGAGCUUGUAUCAGAUGAUGGAUAAUUGAGACUCUAUCAGGUGCACUGUACUCUGACACAGUUUUCAUUACUUUCAUUACUGCCUUGUCCCAGCCUUCAUUUUCAUCACACUUUGGGUUUUUUUAGGUUUUAUAAGAAUGUGUGAUCUGCCCUGGGAAGAAAAGACACAAAUUAAUCCAAAUCUUCACUGUGCAAAUAGUCUGAAAUAUCCCAUCCAGUGUCCAGAAAGAUAGUAAUUUUAAAGAAAGGUAUCUCUUUUCCUAACCCUUGGGUUUUUUUCAGUUUUUAAUUGCAGCUAAUGCUCUUUAUUUUACAUCUCAGUGGAGGCAUUUAAAGCUGUGCAAAGUGAGCGUGUUUUUUUAAAAGCCUCCUAUUUCACCCUGACAAAAAUGACCAUACACAGUGUGGAGCGAUACAGAACUUUUUUUCUCCGAGCUGACUGGAUCUAUCAGUGUGGACGAUUGAACACACUGGCAUUCAGUUCUGUCAAAAGCAAAACCCCAUAAUGUGCCCUGUUCCAGCAAAUACUGAUCUCCUUUGUUGCAAGGCUUUCUGUAUGCAUCAUUAGUCACUUGACAUUCGGUGUACCCUAGAAACCCAGAAACAGCAGCAUCAAUGCUUAUUUGUUUAUAUAUUUUAAGAAACUUCAUUUAUGGUUUCACUUCAGUCACAUCACUUCACAAAUAAUCUUUCAUGAGCCUGUCUCAUCAGAAAAUAACUGGAGACUGGCCAACAUGCCCAUGGCCUUACCAUUUUUAUUCCUUACUCCAAUGACUCAACUCACCCACCCACCCCACUAGGACCUCUGUAGUACUCCUGACCUCCCCGAGGGCUGCUAAAACUAUUCAUAGCUCAAAUUCACGGACUGACUGACACAGAAGACCACAUUCACGAGACAUGGGUAGAGCUAAGCUGCUUUAGCUGUAGGCUUAAUCCAGCAGAUGGAGCAGCUGCCUGACACUGUGGAAACAGCCUGUAUUUUUGUCCAGGGCAGAAUGAGCUGGUGGCUUGCUGCACCUGGUAAUUUUUAACUAAAAUGUGGUCAUUAUUUUUUGCAAGCAUCCACAGGUUCUUCCCCGCUGGAUAUUUUGGAAAACUUUUACUACUUCCUGUGCUUGUGUGCUCCCAUUAAAAUAGUUUCCAACUUCAGAGUUUGUCAUUAGGCUCUUAGAGCUGGCAAGGCAAGUGGUGAUCUCUGCUGUAAAUCUAGAAUGUCAU